Non-coding RNA from Salvelinus sp. IW2-2015, 292 nucleotides. The record is from RefSeq and is a predicted model, not a curated record. NCBI's taxonomy places the organism in Eukaryota, Metazoa, Chordata, Actinopteri, Salmoniformes, Salmonidae.
GUUAGCUGUCCCAGUCCCUGGACCCGUCCCUGUGUGUUCCUCUGCGUCUGGACAGUGAGUUGAGAAGGAAGAUGCGAGAUGGCAGAGAGAGGGAGGCCCGGCAGGCUCUACUCAUCCACAAACUGCAGAACAAGGUGCUGGAAUACCGGGAUCGCUGUCAGGGUUUGGAAUACCAGGUGAAGACUGAAGAAKGAGAGCUCCUGAAACGCGAGAGGAGGAUCAGGAAUGAGCACAGUGACUCCUUAGAGAGCGCCCUCAUCAGGCUGGAGGAGGAACAGCAGAGGUGGGUGGG